GUGCAGCCAAUUAAGCUGACUGUGCUCCUUCUCCAUGGGGGCCCAGUGUGCCAUGGCUGCAAAUAGUAUCCUCCUUGGUAGUGUAUGCAACCUGUUAAUUGUAUGGGUUGUCCUAAGGGACCUUGGAGACAGUC
Small nucleolar RNA from Mirounga angustirostris (Northern elephant seal), 134 nucleotides. RefSeq annotates it as small nucleolar RNA SNORA70. The transcript has a single exon. NCBI's taxonomy places the organism in Eukaryota, Metazoa, Chordata, Mammalia, Carnivora, Phocidae. The record is from RefSeq and is a predicted model, not a curated record.